Molecule: ribosomal RNA, 796 nt
Filed under: uncultured bacterium
Lineage: Bacteria
Description: bacterial SSU rRNA
Rfam family: Bacterial small subunit ribosomal RNA
Source: RNAcentral
AGAGUUUGAUCCUGGCUCAGGAUGAACGCUAGCGGCAGGCCUAAUACAUGCAAGUCGAACGGUAACAUAAGAGCUUGCUCUUGAUGACGAGUGGCGCACGGGUGCGUAACGCGUAUGCAACCUACCCUUUACUGGAGGAUAGCCCGGAGAAAUUCGGAUUAAUACUCCAUAGUAUCAUAAGACAGCAUUGUUUAAUGAUUAAAGAUUUAUUGGUAAAGGAUGGGCAUGCGUGACAUUAGUUAGUUGGUGAGGUAACGGCUCACCAAGACGAUGAUGUCUAGGGGUUCUGAGAGGAUGAUCCCCCACACUGGUACUGAGACACGGACCAGACUCCUACGGGAGGCAGCAGUAGGGAAUAUUGGUCAAUGGGCGAGAGCCUGAACCAGCCAUGCCGCGUGUAGGAAGACGGCCUUCUGGGUUGUAAACUACUUUUAUAUAGGAACAAAUAGGCCAUGCGUGGCAAGUUGAGUGUACUAUAUGAAUAAGCACCGGCUAACUCCGUGCCAGCAGCCGCGGUAAUACGGAGGGUGCAAGCGUUGUCCGGAUUUAUUGGGUUUAAAGGGUGCGUAGGUGGCGUGUUAAGUCAGUGGUGAAAGCCUGCAGCUCAACUGUAGAGGUGCCAUUGAUACUGACAUGCUUGAGUAUGGACGAGGUAGGCGGAAUUUGUGGUGUAGCGGUGAAAUGCAUAGAUACCACAAAGAACACCGAUAGCGAAGGCAGCUUACUGGACCAUAACUGACACUGAGGCACGAAAGUGUGGGUAGCGAACAGGAUUAGAUACCCUGGUAGUCCACAC